AACAGCGCCCGCGCCUGCUUCGCGUCACCUCAUUCCAAAAUAAUUUCGAAUUGUUUCGAACGCGCGCUUCGCUCACAGGCCGGAAACGAUUCUUAUCUUUUUUUUUAAUAAUUAAAAAUGAAAGUGACGUUGUAAAAUAAAAUGAUACUAUUUUUAAUUCAUAGUGAAAAUACUAUUGUGUGAUUUUUUAAUUAUUGAAUGAAAAAAUAGUCUGUGAUUUUAUGUGACAGUGUGGAAUAGGAAGUUUCGUGUUACGCAAGUUGAAUAUUCGUUGGCAAGCUUUUAAGGAUUUCCGAAAAAAAUGGCGGGUGUGAACUUGAGACUAGUGUUCGCGGUGAUCUCGUCAGCAUGCUGGUCGUCUUUCCAACACGGGUACAACACUGGAGUGCUCAAUGCGCCGCAGGAGGUAAUGUCAGAUUGGCUCCAAUUGGACGUCCUGAACGGCACGGACACAACAAAGAAAUCCACAGAAGAUCCUAAAGUAACGUCCGUCUGGGCGGUCGCCGUGUCCAUAUACUGCGUGGGGGGUAUGAUAGGGGGCGUGGUCACAGGCUACGUAGCAGACAGAUUCGGCAGAAAAGGCGGGCUUUUAAUAAACAACGCACUGGUGUUCGUGGCCGCGGUGCUGCAAGGGUUCUCCAAAGCGGCUAAUUCGGCUGUUAUGCUCAUCCUAGGAAGGUUAGUCAUCGGUAUAAAUAGUGGUUUGGCAGCUGGUAUCGCGCCGAUGUACUUAGCCGAAAUAUCACCUGUUUCUCUCAGAGGCUCGAUCGGCACAGUGUACCAGCUAGUGAUUACUAGCACUAUCCUGCUCUCGCAAGUGCUCGGUCUCUCUUCUAUCCUCGGCACGGCGGAGGGCUGGCCGUACUUGCUGUCGCUGGUAGCCCUCCCCGCUGCUAUACAAUAUGCCACGUUGCCGCUCUGUCCCGAGUCGCCAAAGUUCUUGCUACUGAACAGAGGGAAGGAAUUGCAUGCUCAAAGAGCUCUAAAUUGGCUACGUGGAGCGGUGGCUGUCCACGGUGAAAUGGAGGAGAUGCAUCAGGAGGCGGAGAAGAACAAAGUGACGAAGAAGGUGACCCUCCGUGAGCUGUUCAGCAACAGAUCGCUCCGUCAGCCGCUGCUCAUAGCCCUCAUGGUGAUGAUAGCCCAGCAGCUGUCAGGGAUCAACGUCGUCAUCUUCUUCUCCACCGACAUCUUCGUUAAGGCUGGCAUCAGCAGGAUUAACUCACAGUAUGCUACUUUAGGUAUGGGCGCAAUGAACGUGGUGAUGACGAUAGUCAGCCUCAUGUUGGUGGAGUGUGCCGGACGCAAGACUCUGCUUCUUACUGGCUUCAUUGGCAUGUUCAUCUCCACCGUAGCGCUGUUCGUCUCCAACAUCUAUUCGGACGUGUCGUGGGUUCCGUACCUGUGUAUCGUGGUGGUGAUCGUGUUCGUGAUGUCGUUCGCCAUCGGCCCCGGCUCCAUACCCUGGUUCUUGGUCACUGAGUUGUUCAACCAGUCGGCGCGGCCGGCCGCCGCUUCAGUCGCUGUCACUGUCAACUGGACCGCCAACUUCAUUGUUGGCCUUAGCUUCCUUCCGCUUACGUUGGCGCUCAACCACUACACGUAUUUGAUUUUCGCCGCGCUACAAGCUCUGUUCAUUGUAUUCAUAUUCUUCAAAGUGCCUGAAACUAAAAACAAAACAGUCGAGGAAAUUUCCGCCAUGUUUAGACAACAGUUAUAAUUUUUUCGGGCCCAAGUGUUGCAAGGUACUUAGAUCUUAGUAUUGAAAUGACUUUCUAGAUACUUAUUGACUAAAUAUAAAUUGCUCGUAUAUGUAGGUACCGUAUCAUCAAACCGUAAGUCAUGCAAUGUAUUAGGUUUUACAGUGUAAUAAUGUGUAAUAACCGACCAGCCGGCCACGUGUACGAUAACAAUCAUAACUUGAUGUAUGUGCCCCCACCAAGAACGAAUAGCUAGAUUUUCUUAAGAGGGGGAAGGGGCAGGCAGAAGACAAACGCGGAAUGUGCUACAAAAAGUAAAUGAUUUAUUAAAAAAAGAUCUUCAACAAUCUCUAUAAUUCCUUGCGUUGCAGGGCUCUGUUUGCUAAGUUAGGAGAGCAAAAAAUUUGUCAUUUUAUGCCAUAGACUUCUUUGGAUCUACUCUAUGCUGUCAUCCAAAUCUGCUACAAAAAAAUUGGCUGGAGUUAAACCAUCGUAUAUAAACAAUUGUAAUUUUAAUUAAUUUGACAAGAUUGGGACGAACAAAUACAAACUAAAUGUUUUUUUCUUACAAGUCUCAUUAAUGUAAACAAUCUUAGGACUGUGUUUUUUUAUGAUUUUACAGAAACAUUUCAAUAGAUUUUUUAGGAUAUUAAGAACUACUUUUAAAGUGUUUUCGUUUAGAAUGUAAGGUUUGAAAUAAUAUAUGAAUUAUUUUCAACAAAAUUUAAUUAUAAAUUACUUACUGUGAAGAUUGUUUGCAUGUUUGGACUGAAAAGAAAUACGGAACCCUAAAAACGGAUUUAUAGGUAUGAAUGUCGAAUCAAAAAUAAUUCAGUUGUUUGAUUUUAAUAAGCGUUGCCGUAUUAUCGAUAGUUAUUUUGAAGCAAUACUAUUGAUAAAGAACAAUACUAGCGAUGGUAUCGAAACAUGAUGAUGUAGUAGGCUAUCGAUAGUUUUGCACAAUCGAUAGUGACAAGUAGACGAUAGUCUGAUCGCAAUCAAGGUCCGUUGCUAUUUCUUUUUCACAAACUAUGUAUACACAACACUAGUUUUAACAUUCGGUUGUAUUGUAUGUCAUUAUUAUAUUACUGAAUACUCUGACAGUGAUCUUAAUAAUUCCUAUGAUAACUUAGGUCUAGGUAUUUAUUGCUAAUAGAGUUUAAUUUCAUGAAGAAAUCUCGAAAUAUUGCUUGUUCUCAUAAUUUAUGUUCAUUGUAGAACUCUUUGAUUCUACCCUACCGUAUAUGUUUUGUCACUGUCACCGUCACUGCUUGACAUUGACAGAAAGACAAAACACACGCAUGGAUAUAAUAAGUACUUGAGUACUUACUAAUUCCAUGAACACACGUUAGCGCAUAGAUUUAGAAAGGAGCCCGCACCCGGGGCUUGUUCGAUGGUUUAUGACAUAUUUCUCGACUUCCGAGUGCAUUGAAAAACAACGUCAAACGCUACACACAUUAUGAUAAUGCAUUGAUGACAUUACAUGCUCGGCCUUAUUGUAGCGCUCGGUUUUGUCAUGCGCGAAAAUUAUGCGUCGUGUGUUCUAUAUAAUAAUCAACAUUCAGUUGUUAUUCAGUCCUAAAAAAGAAUUCAUAAUAUAUUGAAUGUACUUAAUUAAAAACUUUAACAAGCAAUAAUUGCUGACAAGGUCAUUGUAAAAAAAUGUUUACUUUAGGUAAAAUAUAUACAAGAUAUAUUUAGAUUCAUUAUGAUAAUUCAUAGACUGUAACAAUGCCAACUGUAUCAUUGUAUGAAGAUUUAAAGUUGAUAUUAAAUUUUUAAACUACCUUUAUUAAGAAUUUAUCACCAUAAACGUAACAUUUAAUGUAGCUGUCGAACAAACAUUUCUUUGCGAACACUUUAGCACGUUGUGACGUCACUUGUUCGUGUCAUUUAGUAUGGAGCAUGAAAUUAAAGAGCCUUUGGAAGUCCUAAAAUGUGUAAUUUUACUUUUGUCAUCUUUGAAAGCAUUGUCAUUAUCAUAGUAUUUUUUCACUGGUGUUUCUAAUAUGGCCUUCGAAUAGUUCCGAAUCAAAAUAAAAAAUUAUCAACUAGCCUAUUCAUAAGAAAUCCAAAAUGAUCUUUUCUGUAAAUAUUAAUUAUAUUUUGGUGUAUACAUUUAUGAACUUGCUUUCAGUAGUAGUAAGAAUCAAGUUGUUAAACUUUUUUUAUAAUAAAGAAAUGAAACAAACAUUUUUC
This is an RNA transcript of Plodia interpunctella (Indianmeal moth), 3899 nucleotides long. It is a transcript of the gene named solute carrier family 2, facilitated glucose transporter member 1-like, with no coding region annotated. The record is from RefSeq and is a predicted model, not a curated record. The transcript has 13 exons. Lineage: Eukaryota; Metazoa; Arthropoda; Insecta; Lepidoptera; Pyralidae.